UGGCGGCGUGCCUAUACAUGCAAGUCGAGCGGAUCGAUGGGAGCUUGCUCCCUGAGAUCAGCGGCGGACGGGUGAGUAACACGUGGGUAACCUGCCUGUAAGACUGGGAUAACUCCGGGAAACCGGGGCUAAUACCGGAUAACACCUACCCCCGCAUGGGGGAAGGUUGAAAGGUGGCUUCGGCUAUCACUUACAGAUGGACCCGCGGCGCAUUAGCUAGUUGGUGAGGUAAUGGCUCACCAAGGCGACAAUGCGUAGCCGACCUGAGAGGGUGAUCGGCCACACUGGGGACUGACACACGGCCCAAACUCCUACGGGAGGCAGCAGUAGGGAAUCUUCCGCAAUGGACCAAAGUCCGACGGAACAACGCCGCGUGA
RNAcentral lists this ribosomal RNA (377 nucleotides) under Rossellomorea marisflavi. Its description in RNAcentral is "bacterial SSU rRNA". It matches the Rfam family "Bacterial small subunit ribosomal RNA", at positions 37 to 404 of the family's 1533-position model. The record is from RNAcentral. Lineage: Bacteria; Bacillati; Bacillota; Bacilli; Caryophanales; Bacillaceae.